UACAGAGGGGGCAAGCGUUGUUCGGAAUUACUGGGCGUAAAGGGCGCGUAGGCGGCCAACUAAGUCAGACGUGAAAUCCCUCGGCUUAACCGGGGAACUGCGUCUGAUACUGGAUGGCUUGAGUGUGGGAGAGGGAUGCGGAAUUCCAGGUGUAGCGGUGAAAUGCGUAGAUAUCUGGAGGAACACCGGUGGCGAAGGCGGCAUCCUGGACCACGACUGACGCUGAGGAGCGAAAGCCAGGGGAGCAAACGGG
RNAcentral lists this ribosomal RNA (253 nucleotides) under uncultured bacterium. RNAcentral's name for it is "partial 16S ribosomal RNA". It matches the Rfam family "Bacterial small subunit ribosomal RNA", at positions 524 to 776 of the family's 1533-position model. The record is from RNAcentral.